AAUAGUUUGUAUUUACAUGGUUGAAACCCACUUUCCUACUUGGAUACUUGUAAAACAUUGUUUUAUCUUCCACAUCUAGACGCCCAGUGUCACGGACACAAAAUACAGAUUUGAAAUCUAACAAGAAGUUCAAGAAGAAGUGGCAGAACUAGAUUAAACAGAUGAGUACAAGAACAACACCAGAAAGGUGAGCUAGAACUCCAAGAGAUGUG
RNAcentral lists this long non-coding RNA (212 nucleotides) under Physcomitrium patens. Its description in RNAcentral is "long non-coding RNA (PPAT_LNC009090)". The record is from RNAcentral. Lineage: Eukaryota; Viridiplantae; Streptophyta; Bryopsida; Funariales; Funariaceae.